AGUGAACGCUGGCGGUAGGCCUAACACAUGCAAGUCGAACGGCAGCACAGUAAGAGCUUGCUCUUACGGGUGGCGAGUGGCGGACGGGUGAGGAAUACAUCGGAAUCUACUUUUUCGUGGGGGAUAACGUAGGGAAACUUACGCUAAUACCGCAUACGACCUACGGGUGAAAGCAGGGGAUCUUCGGACCUUGCGCGAUUGAAUGAGCCGAUGUCGGAUUAGCUAGUUGGCGGGGUAAAGGCCCACCAAGGCGACGAUCCGUAGCUGGUCUGAGAGGAUGAUCAGCCACACUGGAACUGAGACACGGUCCAGACUCCUACGGGAGGCAGCAGUGGGGAAUAUUGGACGAUGGGCGCAAGCCUGAUCCAGCCAUACCGCGUGGGUGAAGAAGGCCUUCGGGUUGUAGAGCCCUUCUGUUGGGAAAGAAAAGCAGCAGGUUAAUACCCCGCUGUUCUGACGGUACCCAAAGAAUAAGCACCGGCUAACUUCGUG
RNAcentral lists this ribosomal RNA (492 nucleotides) under uncultured bacterium. Its description in RNAcentral is "partial 16S ribosomal RNA". It matches the Rfam family "Bacterial small subunit ribosomal RNA", at positions 29 to 507 of the family's 1533-position model. The record is from RNAcentral.